RNAcentral lists this ribosomal RNA (776 nucleotides) under uncultured Neocallimastigales. RNAcentral describes it as "partial large subunit ribosomal RNA". It matches the Rfam family "Eukaryotic large subunit ribosomal RNA", at positions 24 to 616 of the family's 3401-position model. Lineage: Eukaryota; Fungi; Neocallimastigomycota; Neocallimastigomycetes; Neocallimastigales. The record is from RNAcentral.
UUAUGUGAUCGUCUCUCGCAUAUCAAUAAGCGGAGGAAAAGAAACUAACAAGGAUUCCCCUAGUAACGGCGAGUGAAGCGGGAAGAGCUCAAAUUUGAAAUCUUAAAGGGUUUCCCUUUACGAAUUGUAGUUUAAAGAAGUGUUUUCUGUUGAGGUCUUGGUAAAAGUUCUUUGGAAUAGGACAUCAUAGAGGGUGAGAAUCCCGUAUUUGACCUUUACUUUCAACUUUGUGAUACACUUUCAAAGAGUCGGAUUGUUUGGGAAUGCAGUCCAAAAUGGGUGGUAAAUUUCAUCUAAAGCUAAAUAUUGGCGAGAGACCGAUAGCGAACAAGUACCGUGAGGGAAAGAUGAAAAGAACUUUGAAAAGAGAGUUAAACAGUACGUGAAAUUGUCAAAAGGGAAGCGUUUGACACCAGUGUUGUUUUUCUGAAAAUCAAUUAAAGAACUGUUUAUGCUAAGCUUGUUUAGACUUUAUCAGCUAACUGUUUAGUUUUGAGCUUUUCUUUAAUGCACUUUUCAGUUAACAAGUCAACAUCAAUUUCUUUUGCUGUAAAAAAGCUUGAGGAAGGUGGCUUGAGAUUCGUCUUAAGUGUUUAUAGCCUCUUGCCUAUGCAGUCGGAGAGAUUGAGGUCUGCAGCGUAGAUCCUUCGGGGCUAAAUGCAUUUGUGCUAAGUUAUAGCAUUUUAUAGACAACUUGUUGACUAUGAUUUGUCUUGUAGCUUACUCGCUUAUGUUAUUUUACCUACGCUUAGGAUGUUGAGCGCAUGUCUCUCUCU